RNAcentral lists this ribosomal RNA (253 nucleotides) under uncultured bacterium. RNAcentral describes it as "partial 16S ribosomal RNA". It matches the Rfam family "Bacterial small subunit ribosomal RNA", at positions 524 to 776 of the family's 1533-position model. The record is from RNAcentral.
GACGGAGGGUGCUAGCGUUGUUCGGAAUUACUGGGCGUAAAGAGCGCGCAGGCGGUCAGAUAAGUCGAAUGUGAAAGCCCCCGGCUCAACUGGGGAGGGUCAUUCGAUACUGUUCGACUCGAAGGCAGGAGAGGGAAGCGGAAUUCCCGGUGUAGUGGUGAAAUGCGUAGAUAUCUGGAGGAACACCGGUGGCGAAGGCGGCAUCCUGGACCGACACUGACGCUGAGGAGCGAAAGCCAGGGGAGCAAACGGG